Molecule: long non-coding RNA, 256 nt
Filed under: Rattus norvegicus (Norway rat)
Lineage: Eukaryota; Metazoa; Chordata; Mammalia; Rodentia; Muridae
Description: long non-coding RNA NONRATT014579
Source: RNAcentral
GCCAUGCAUUCACUCAGCCCAAUGGGAAGUGGCCAGUGUCAUUCCUCUCCCCCACAGGGAAGACUCAGCAGCUGAGGAGGAUCCUGAGGGACCCGGAAGAAUCACCUCCUACUUCAGCCAGGGCCCGCAGGCCUGCCGCCCUCAGGUCUCCCACAAAUACUUCCAGGAGCGAGGCCUGGAGACAGCCACCAGCCUCUAGGAGCCAAUGUGUGUACCUCCCCUUCUAACUCACAAUAAAAGCUGUUCAAGAAGCGGA